Molecule: ribosomal RNA, 655 nt
Filed under: uncultured eukaryote
Lineage: Eukaryota
Description: eukaryotic LSU rRNA
Rfam family: 5.8S ribosomal RNA (bases 237-390)
Source: RNAcentral
UAAAAGUCGUAACAAGGUUUCCGUAGGUGAACCUGCGGAAGGAUCAUUAUCGCGUCUAAUGUCUUUGUGACUACACUGUGAACUGUAUGCUUUACUUGACGAGAGCGUUCUCUGGUGACAGAGAUUGAAAAGGGAGUACCGCCUCGCUUGCCUCUCGUCUCUUGUAAAACAACUUAUACACAAUAUUCCAGGUUGCCAACUGUCUUAGGACGGUUAGAAUACGAAAACGAGAGAACAACUUCUAACGGUGGAUCUCUUGGCUCGUGCAUCGAUGAAGAACGUUGCCAGUUGCGAUAAGUAGUGUGAAUUGCAGAAUGAAGUGAAUCAUCGAAUCUUUGAACGCAAAUUGCACUCUCUGGAUAUCCGGAGAGUAUGUCUGUCUGAGCGUCGUGAAAAAUCUAAACACUUCGGUGUUGAUUGGGAGUUCGAGUGACCGCAAGGGCGCUCGUCUCUCUAAGUGUCUGAGACCUGUGGCUGUGAGUUACACUCGCUGAACAGUUGUCUUAAUCUGCUUUAAACAACUGACAGUUAGGAAACUCUCGGCGUUUACACUAGUCUCGCUUACUGACUGACUAACCACAGUCGACUUACAUCUUUGACCUCAGAUCAGUCAAGACUACCCGCUGAAUUUAAGCAUAUCAAUAAGCGGAGGAAG